This 458-nucleotide ribosomal RNA is filed under the name uncultured bacterium. Its description in RNAcentral is "SSU rRNA". It matches the Rfam family "Bacterial small subunit ribosomal RNA", at positions 26 to 518 of the family's 1533-position model. The record is from RNAcentral.
AGAAUCAACGCUGGCGGCGUGCCUAACACAUGCAAGUCGCACGAGAAAGGGUAGCAAUACCUGAGUACAGUGGCGCACGGGUGAGUAACACGUGAAUAAUCUACCUCCGAGUGGGGAAUAACUGAGAGAAAUCUUAGCUAAUACCGCAUAACACUUACGAGUCAAAGCAGCAAUGCGCUUGGAGAGAAGUUCGCGGCAGAUUAGUUAGUUGGCGGGGUAAUGGCCCACCAAGACGAUGAUCUGUAUCCGGCCUGAGAGGGCGCACGGACACACUGGAACUGAAACACGGUCCAGACUCCUACGGAGGCAGCAGUGGGGAAUUUUGCGCAAUGGGGGAAACCCUGACGCAGCAACGCCGCGUGGAGGAUGAAAUCCCUUGGGAUGUAAACUCCUUUCGAUAGGGAAGAUAAUGACGGUACCUAUAGAAGAAGCCCGGCUAACUUCGUGCCAGCAGCCGC